GACGAACGCUGGCGGCGUGCCUAAUACAUGCAAGUUGAGCGAUGAAGAUUGGUGCUUGCACCAAUUUGAAGAGCAGCGAACGGGUGAGUAACGCGUGGGGAAUCUGCCUUUGAGCGGGGGACAACAUUUGGAAACGAAUGCUAAUACCGCAUAACAACUUUAAAUAUAAGUUUUAAGUUUGAAAGAUGCAAUUGCAUCACUCAAAGAUGAUCCCGCGUUGUAUUAGCUAGUUGGUGAGGUAAAGGCUCACCAAGGCGAUGAUACAUAGCCGACCUGAGAGGGUGAUCGGCCACAUUGGGACUGAGACACGGCCCAAACUCCUACGGGAGGCAGCAGUAGGGAAUCUUCGGCAAUGGACGAAAGUCUGACCGAGCAACGCCGCGUGAGUGAAGAAGGUUUUCGGAUCGUAAAACUCUGUUGGUAGAGAAGAACGUUGGUGAGAGUGGAAAGCUCAUCAAGUGACGGUAACUACCCAGAAAGGGACGGCUAACUACGUG
This 497-nucleotide ribosomal RNA is filed under the name uncultured bacterium. RNAcentral describes it as "partial 16S ribosomal RNA". It matches the Rfam family "Bacterial small subunit ribosomal RNA", at positions 28 to 507 of the family's 1533-position model. The record is from RNAcentral.